GACAGAGGGUGCAAACGUUGUUCGGAAUUACUGGGCGUAAAGCGCGUGUAGGCUGCUCUGCAAGUCGGAUGUGAAAGCCCUGGGCUCAACCUAGGAAGUGCACUCGAAACUGCAGAGCUUGAGUCUCGGAGAGGAUCGCGGAAUUCUCGGUGUAGAGGUGAAAUUCGUAGAUAUCGAGAGGAACACCUGCGGCGAAGGCGGGUUGCUGGGCUGACACUGACGCUGAGGCGCGAAAGCUAGGGGAGCGAACGGG
Molecule: ribosomal RNA, 253 nt
Filed under: uncultured bacterium
Lineage: Bacteria
Description: partial 16S ribosomal RNA
Rfam family: Bacterial small subunit ribosomal RNA
Source: RNAcentral